This 253-nucleotide ribosomal RNA is filed under the name uncultured bacterium. RNAcentral describes it as "partial 16S ribosomal RNA". It matches the Rfam family "Bacterial small subunit ribosomal RNA", at positions 524 to 776 of the family's 1533-position model. The record is from RNAcentral.
UACAGAGGGGGCAAGCGUUGUUCGGAAUUACUGGGCGUAAAGGGCGCGUAGGCGGCCUUCUAAGUCGAACGUGAAAUCCCCGGGCUCAACCCGGGAACUGCGUCCGAUACUGGAAGGCUUGAAUCCGGGAGAGGGAUGCGGAAUUCCAGGUGUAGCGGUGAAAUGCGUAGAUAUCUGGAGGAACACCGGUGGCGAAGGCAGCCCCCUGGGCCAAUACUGACGCUCAUGCACGAAAGCGUGGGGAGCAAACAGG